AACGCACCUUGCGCUCCUUGGUAUUCCUUGGAGCAUGCCUGUUUGAGUGUCUUGAAUAUCUCUGCUCCCCCGCUUUUUUUUUUUUCUAAAAGCGGGCUUGGAGUCAGGUCCUUGGGCUUGCUUGUCUGUUUGUUACGAACACAUGCUUGCCUUAAAUGCAUUAGCUGGAUUUCAGUAGAGUUGUUAAGUAACAUUGAAAACUCUCAUAAGAUGAAGUCUGCUGUCCAACCCGACGAGUUGUGUGUCCCUUUUGGGGGCGCUAUGCUCUCACAUAUUCAUUUCUUUGGCCUCAAAUCAGGUAGGACUACCCGCUGAACUUAA
This 321-nucleotide unclassified non-coding RNA is filed under the name uncultured fungus. Its description in RNAcentral is "partial contains 5.8S ribosomal RNA, internal transcribed spacer 2, and large subunit ribosomal RNA". Lineage: Eukaryota; Fungi. The record is from RNAcentral.